AGUUCUGCGUAGAGCUGAAACUGGGAAACGAAGAAAGGUGCUCUGGUGUGGUAGUUGCCAGCUACCUAGCCCACCACGGGGCCAACUUUUACUGUAAAAACAAAAUUGGCAGAACACCAUUGGACCUAAUAAAAAAGGAAAAUUUAAAAAAGAUGUUAAAGACGUUAUUCCCACCGCAGUAAGUAUUCACUGGCAAUGACAAGAUAAACCAUUACAUUUUCUGUUUUGUAUAUAACCGUGUUUAUAUGUUUAUAUUGUUUUAAUUCGACUGAUACAUUAUACUGCUUUAGAGGCUUAAUGAAAGGUUAGACAACAACAGUAAGAAGAACAAUAAACAAUAUGCAGAUGUUAAGAUAAUUAAAAGAAAGGACACUAUUUUGAUUACAUUCAAAUGAUUGGUUGCGUUGACUGUUAUACCUCUCCUAAAAUCCCCACCCACCCCUCUCAAUUCCCUAUUUUAAAGAUUUGGGACCAAUGAGAAAAUGUAGAAGUAAAUAGUGAAGUGAUGGAAUUUAUAUCUCUACCAACAGAUUAUUCCUCUGUCUUCUCUGUCCCAGCCAGUCAUGUCCAUGUGAGCUAUCCUGAGAAAAUCGCCUACAAACACAUACAAUUAGUGUACAUACACGAAUACAUACAUACAUACGUAUUUAUACAUACAUGCAUACGUAUUUAUACAUGCAUACAUAGAUACAUACAUACAUAUAUAUAUAUAUAUAUACAUAUAUAUACAUAUAUAUAUAUAUAUAUAUAUAUAUAUAUAUAUAUAUAUAUAUAUAUAUAUAUAUAUAUAUAUAUAUAUAUACUGUGGGGAGGAAAUAAAUAUUCGUCUGUCAAAAUUCUUUAUUUAAUUUCUAAUGAACAUAAAUGGGAUAUACCAAUACUAUAUUCACAUACACAUGCAUCAACUAAGAAUAUGCAAAAGAAACUAAUAAAUUAUAGUAACUAAGGAAUUUAUAUACAAUCAUAAAUAUUUAGGGGUGAAAAAAGUAUUCGUACAGAAUAAAUGUAUGAUUUUCUAUGCCACAAAAUACUGUUAAAAUAUUUUUUUACUAGAAAUUUCUUGUUUAUUCCAAUAAUCUUAGUUUUCAUUUUUGAGUGUCAAAACACUAGCUUCUUCAUUCAACACUGAGACAACAUAAAGUAAUAUCGCAAUAAUGGCGAAAAGUAAAGAACUCACAAAUUCAGAGAAAAACUUAAUUAUUGAACUGUAGAAAGUAGGUAAAAGUUACAGGAAAAUAUCAGAGACACUUUGUAUUCCGCUUACUACCAUAUCUUCAUUUAUUCAAAGAUAUAAGGAAUCAGGAACUGUUGAAAACAGAAUAAGAUCCGGAGCACCACGCAAGAUUUCCCCAAGAUCUUUAAGAAAAAUGAAGAGAAGAAUAUAAAAAAACGCAAUAAUCACCAGAAAGGAGUUUUCAUAGGAAUGAACUGAAGUCACGCUCUCCUAGAAAAACUCCUCUGUUGACUAAAAGGCAUAGAGAUGCCCGUUUAAAAUUUGUUAUGAACAUAAAGAUAAAUCUGAUACAUUCUGGGAAAAUGUUCUAUGGACAGACGAGACGAAAAUUGAAUUGUUUGGACGAAAUUCGCUUACCCAUGUUUGGAGUAAAAACACAAUUCCUACCGUAAAGAUUGGAGGUGUGGGGGUGUUUCUCUGCAAAUGGUACUGGCAAUUUACAUGUGAUAGAUGGUAGAAUGAAUGCAGAGAUGUACCAAAAUAUUUUGAACAAUAAUUUAUGGGGCUCUAUUGAAAAGCUCCAGCUUUGUGAAGGGUGGGUUUUACAACAGGGUAAUGGCCCUAAGCACACGGUGAAGUCUACCAUAUAUGGAUUGUCAAUCACAAUAUAAAAUUAUUGUAAUGGCCAAGCCUGUCACCUGACUUGAACCCCAUUGAAGAGCCCCAACAUGCAUUACAGAUUUGAAGAAAAUUUGUCAAGAAGAAUAGGAAAAUAUUCCUAAAGAAACAUGCGAGUCAUUGGUGAAGAACUACAAGAAGAGAUUGGUUGAAGUGGAACUGAAUAAUGGUUAUGCUACGAAGUAUCAAAUCAAAAUUAUCAGUUAUUUAUAUUCUGUACGAAUACUUUUUUCACCCCUAAAUAUUUAUAAUUGUAUAUAAAUUCCUUAGUUACUAUAAUUUAUUAGUUUCUUUCGCAUAUUCUUAGUUUAUGCAUCUGUAUGCAAAUAUAUAAUAGUGGUAUAUCCCAUUUAUGUUCAUUAGAACUUAAAUAAAGAAAGAAUUUUGACAUUUACGAAUAUUUAUUUCCCCCGUGUAUAUAUAUAUAUAUAUAUAUAUAUAUAUAUAUAUAUAUACAUAUACGCACACACACACACACAAACACACACACACACACACACAUAUAUAUACAUAUAUAUAUAUAUAUAUAUAUAUAUAUAUAUAUAGGGAGAGUUAACGAAAAAAACAAAAGACGAUGACAGGUGGUGUUGAAGGAAUAGAAAAAACCUUUUACGUUUCGAGCCUUCGCUCUUCUACAGAAAGGGACACGGAAAAAAAAACAAGGAUAGAAACAAGGAGAGAAAAAAAUGUGUGUAGCGGCUAACAAUCUAUCAUGGCGACUGACUCGGACACACACACACACACACACACACACAUAUAUAUAUAUAUAUAUAAGUGAAUUAUAUUUCUGGAAUAUAUGUUGUUCACUUUGUGUAAAUCAGUUUUUGUGAUGUAUCAAUGUCAAUAUACUUAUUAAUAUUUGUGUCCAUUUAUAUAUAUAUAUGUGUGUAUGUGUGUGUGUAUCUGUGUCUGUGUCUGUGUGUCUGUGUCUGUGUCUGUGUGUCUGUAUCUGCAUUUAUAUACUCACAAAUUCGCCCAUAUGUAAUUGUUUAAUUGUGGUGUCGCAUAAUAUUCUCUACUGUAAAUUAGAGUGUCUCUGUGUAACGAAAUGUAUCUUGCUAUUUAUUCCACAGCCAUGAUGGAGGAAGACGCAUGGAUCAGGCACUGAAGGGACCAAUCAGGUAGUUGAACUAUUUCUCACAGUCUUUCAGUCAUAGAAUAACAAUGUACCUUGUAAUGACCUGAGAUCAAUCUGAAGUUUGUGGUGCAGUGAUGGCAGAUGGAAACAUGACAUUUACUGCAUUCAACUCAUCACUUUUGAAAAUAAUUCCCUGGUUAUGUACACACAUAUCGUAUAUAAAUCUAAAGUCAUUACUCUAAUUUAGAACAAUGACCUGUUUUGUGUCAUGGAUCAGCCAUACAUAAAGCUGUAGGAAUUGUGUCCUAUCUGUCCAUCCAUAAAAUUCAAAGUCAAAUGUCUAAGUAUAGACGACUUCUAAAACAGAUUAGAUACAAUCAAGUGUUAUAUGUAUGCAUGUAUGUAUGCAUGUAUGUAUGUACGUACGUACGUACGUACGUAUGUAUGUAUGUAUGUAUGUCUAUAUAUACACACACACACAUACAAUUUAUAUAUAUUUAUAUAUAUAUAUAUAUAUAUAUAUAUAUAUAUAUAUAUAUAUAUACAUACAUUCAUACAUAUAUACAUACAUACAUAUAUAUCACCUUGACCGACCAGUCCGUCGGGCAUCCAUUUGACACCGCUGGUCACAGCACGCUGUCCACUCCUCUCUGGAUCGCACCUUCCUCAUCCACGUGAUCCCAAUCGUCCUCCUGAAAUCGUUACUCCACCGUCGUGGAGGCCUUCCGGGUGGUCGUUUCCGCUCGCGCGGGUACCACUCGACAACUGCGCGUGUCCACAGAUUUUCGGUGAGCUGGGCGAUGUGUCCAGCCCAUCUAAACAUAUGUAUGUAUGUAUGUAUGUAUGUGUGUGUGUAUGUGUAUGUAUAUAAGUGAAUUAUAUUUCUGGAAUAUAUGUUGUUCACUUUGCGUAAAUCAGUUUUUGUGAUGUAUCAAUGUCAUGACAUAUACUUAUUAAUAUUUGUGUCCAUUUAUAUAUAUAUAUGUGUGUAUGUGUGUGUGUAUCUGUGUCUGUGUCUGUGUGUCUGUGUCUGUGUGUCUGGGUCUGCAUUUAUAUACUCACAAAUUCGCCCAUAUGUAAUUGUUUAAUUGUGGUGUCGCAUAAUAUUCUCUACUGUAAAUUAGAGUGUCUCUGUGUAACGAAAUGUAUCUUGCUAUUUAUUCCACAGCCAUGGUGGAGGAAGACGCAUGGAUCAGGCACUGAAGGGACCAAUCAGGUAGUUGAACUAUUUCUCACAGUCUUUCAGUCAUUGAAUAACAAUGUACCUUGUAAUGACCUGAGAUCAAUCUGAAGUUUGUGGUGCAGUGAUGGCAGAUGGAAACAUGACAUUUACUGCAUUCAACUCAUCACUUUUGAAAAUAAUUCCCUGGUUAUGUACACACAUAUCGUAUAUAAAUCUAAAGCCAUUACUCUAAUUUAGAACAAUGACCUGUUUUGUGGCAUGGAUCAGCCAUACAUGAAGCUGUAGGAAUUGUGUCCUAUCUGUCCAUUCAUAAAAUUCAGUCAAAUGUCUAAGUAUAGACGACUUGUUAAACAGAUUAGAUACAAUCAAGUGUUAUAUGUAUGCAUGUAUGUAUGUACGUACGUACGUACGUAUGUAUGUAUGUAUGUAUGUCUAUAUAUACACACACACACAUACAUAUAUAUAUAUAUAUAUAUAUAAUUAAUCAAUAUAGGGUGGCAAAAAAAAUUUUGUAGAAUUCUUUUGCCACCAGCGGCCUAGUAGGAAAAAAUUAAAUAGUCAUAAACCAUUUUUACGUUCAACAUCAACAAUCAAGGAACGGCCAUAAUAGGCCAUUCACGCACUAGAAAUAACAGCCAAAAGCUUUAACCGCAAAAUAACAUUAAUACCGUAAACCAGGAGAAAAUUGAAAAACUUUUACCCUGUAAUUUCUUAGACGAUGCACCGUUUCAUCUACCGUUUAAUGGUAAACUAACCUGAUUAAAUUAAAUCAAGCCAAUCCACCAUAGGCCCUUAGACUCAUCAGUAAGAAAUAGCCAAGUCGGAACAGAUAUUUUUCACGAGGCAUUCCUCUUGCUACCUCGGCAAUAUCUGACCUAAAAUUUUCAAAUCGUCGCACUCACCCCAAAUUUAUCGGCAGCAAAUAAAUAUAAGCCGUCGAUUCCAUUACGGAAUUAACCAGAAAAUUUAUAAUUAAUCAAUAUAGAGUGGCAAAAAAAAUUUUGUAGAAUUUUUUUGCCACCAGCGGCCUAGUAGGAAAAAAUUAAAUAGUCAUAGUCCAUUUUUACGUUCAACAUCACAAUCAAGGAACGGCCAUAAUAGGCCAUUCACGCACUAGAAAUAACAGCCAAAAGCUUUAACCGCAAAAUAACAUUAAUACCGUAAACCAGGACUAUUUAAUUUUUUCCUACUAGGCCGCUGGUGGCAAAAGAAUUCUACAAAAUUUUUUUUGCCACCCUAUAUUGAUUAAUUAUGAAUUUUCUCGUUAAUUCCGUAACGGAAUCGGUGGCUUCUAUUUAUUUGCUGCCGAUAAAUUUGGCGCGAGUGCGACGAUUUGAAAAUUUUAGGUCAGAUAUUGCCGAGGUAGCAAGAGGAAUGCCUCGUGAAAAAUAUCUGUUCCGACUUGGCUAUUUCUUACUGAUGAGUCUAAGGGCCUAUGGUGGAUUGGCUUGAUUUAAUUUAAUCAGGUUAGUUUACCAUUAAACGGUAGAUGAAACGGUGCAUCGUCUAAGAAAUUACAGGGUAAAAGUUUUUCAAUUUUCUCCUGGUUUACGGUAUUAAUGUUAUUUUGCGGUUAAAGCUUUUGGCUGUUAUUUCUAGUGGGUGAAUGGCCUAUUAUGGCCGUUCCUUGAUUGUGAUUAUAUAUAUAUAUAUAUAUAUAUAUAUAUAUAUAUAUAUAUAUAUAUAUAUAUACAUACGUUCAUACAUAUAUUCAUACAUACAUAUAUAUCACCUUGACCGACUAGUCCGUCAGGCAUCCAUUUGACACCGCUGGUCACAGCACACUGUCCACUCCUCUCUGGAUCGCGCCUUCCUCAUCCGCGUGAUCCCAAUCGUCCUCCUGAAAUCGUAACUCCACCGUCGUGGAGGCCUUCCGGGUGGUCGUUUCCACUCGCGCGGGUACCACUCGACAACUGCGCGUGUCCACAGAUUUUCGGUGAGCUGGGCGAUGUGUCCAGCCCAUCUAAACAUAUGUAUGUAUGUAUGUAUGUAUGUAUGUAUGUAUGUAUGUAUGUGUGUGUGUAUGUGUAUGUAUAUAAGUGAAUUAUAUUUCUGGAAUAUAUGUUGUUCACUUUGCGUAAAUCACUUUUUGUGAUGUAUCAAUGUUAUGACAUAUAUUUAUUAAUAUUUGUGUCCAUUUAUAUAUAUAUAUAUAUAUAUAUAUAUGUGUGUGUGUGUGUGUGUGUGUGUGUGUGUGUGUGUGUGUGUCUAUGUGUGUGUGUGUGUGUGUUUGUGCGUGUGUUUGUGUGUGUGUCUGUGUCUGCAUUUAUAUACUCACAAAUUCGCCCAUAUGUAAUUGUUUAAUUGUGGUGUCGCAUAAUAUUCUCUACUGUAUAUAUUUACACAAUGUAAUAUUUGUUAUAAAUGAAUGUUAUUAAUGGGAUGUGUUCAUGUUUUUGUUCCUCAGAUGUGUGUUUUGUGACGACGAAGUGGCCACAGAGACGUUCUUUCCAUGUAAACAUCUUUCGCUGUGUAAGAAAUGCUGUCCCCCAAAGAUACCUAAACAAUGCCUCAAGUGUGGACGGAAGAUAACGAGCAAAAAUAGUUUGGGUAAGAAUACUGUAUGAUCUGUCUGUUUGUCUCAUGGGCUUUAUGGUGUGGAAUAUUGUAUUUCCUGUUGUUGUUUAGAUCCAGUUUUGCGUUAAUCAAGCACACUUUUGAUAAAAGAUGUUCCAGGUGUCUUUUUCUCUGUCAUAUUAUGUCUCUCACUACUCCCACUAAACAUUGUUCUUGUCCAAUUAGAAGACUUGUCACACUUCAAGAUGGUUACUUUCUGCAACAUAAAAAUAAUAAAGAAUACUGAAUUAUAAAUGGUGACUAAAUACCAAUAAAUCACCAAGGUUCUAUCAGUAAAUACCGACAUCUUGUGUGUGAUUAGAGUGAUUAAUGAUUUAUCAAUAUCUUCGGAAGCUGAAAAUUAAAAACAACUGCGUUUAUAUGAAUAUCAGAGUGAGCCUUUAUAAAAUAGGAGACUCAAUAAGAAAAUCUCAACUGAGGGUUUAGGGACCAACAUUAGAGAGGGGACAUCAAAAGGUUGGGAAACUUUGAUUGAUGUAUAGAUUAGUAUUCCCGAGUAUCAGUUCUUCUGAACCGUUUCAAAUAUUUUCACAGCAAUAAUGUGUGGACAAGUUUUAUGUCGUUAAUGAGGUUUUGUGUGAAUGUAGUGUGUUAAUUUAGGACACGAGAUAUCACUUCCUGUUAGACCUGAUGUCACUUUCUGUUCGACCUGCUUUAUUCAGGAGGAUGAAUGACAUUGGAAUAUCUUCAGAUAUUUCCCCAAAUCUGAUUACAUUCUGGAGAACUGUGAUGUGGGUAAUUAAGAUUAAAGAUUACUAGUAGUAACCAAUAACAAAGAGAACAGGUAUAUAUAUAUAUAUAUAUAUAUAUAUAUACAUAUAUAUAUAUCCUGAAGUGGUGUUUCGUGUUUGGGGUUGAUAUUCGAUGCGCAACUUGGUUGACAUUUGAACUCAGCAGAAGAUGAGACGAAUAUUGAUUAGAGAUCUCUGGAGGUGAAAUGACGAUGUCUUGUCAAAGAUCUGGAACAAACAUAAGAAAACCAAAACGAAACUAAGAGAGAAUCUGUUGUUAUUAGGUGAUAAUUAAAUGAGAUAAUUUCAGAAUUGUUAGAAUUGCUGGAUGCCUUAAGAGACAGAGAAGGGUUGUUAAGUGUAGUUUAGGCUGUUGUGGACCUAAAUUUUGAAUCGUUACAUAGUAAUACUCAAGAAAUUAUACAAAUGCUCUCCAAAAGCAUGAUGGUCACCAGUUGACCAAUGAUGAUAGGAUUGUCUAACAAUAAUAAAAUAUCGAUUAUUAAUAAUGAUAAAGAACUUUUUCUACAGUGUUUAAAACAUGAAAUUGUUUAUUUCAGAGGGUCCAAAGUCGUCAAAACCGGAAGUCCAGAUGUUGGCAGAACCACCUGG
This 8033-nucleotide long non-coding RNA is filed under the name Octopus vulgaris (common octopus). Lineage: Eukaryota; Metazoa; Mollusca; Cephalopoda; Octopoda; Octopodidae. The record is from RNAcentral.